UGGAAUGUAGCUCAGUGGCAAAGCGCUUGCCUAGCAAGUGCAACGUUCUGGGUUCGAUCCCCAGUACCAA
RNAcentral lists this transfer RNA (70 nucleotides) under Dipodomys ordii (Ord's kangaroo rat). It matches the Rfam family "tRNA". From Rfam's summary of the family: Transfer RNA (tRNA) molecules are approximately 80 nucleotides in length. The record is from Rfam by way of RNAcentral. Lineage: Eukaryota; Metazoa; Chordata; Mammalia; Rodentia; Heteromyidae.